This 22-nucleotide microRNA is filed under the name Monodelphis domestica (gray short-tailed opossum). Its description in RNAcentral is "mdo-miR-7344-5p". The record is from miRBase by way of RNAcentral. Lineage: Eukaryota; Metazoa; Chordata; Mammalia; Didelphimorphia; Didelphidae.
UAGUCUCUUCCCUUGAGUGUAG